AUAGCUGAGGUCAGUACUGCUUUGGCCAGACAAGAAGGGCUAAAUGAGCUUGCAGACCUCUAAUGCAUCUAACUUAUUGUUUGUUAAAUCAGCUCACUGCCAGAACUCCGGUUAAACAGAGCCACAGAAGAGAUCCAGUUUGCCUACUCCUUUUUGAAAAAAGCCUUGGCUGUGGCAAUGCAGUGAAGCAGGAGAUUG
Molecule: long non-coding RNA, 198 nt
Organism: Gallus gallus (chicken)
Lineage: Eukaryota; Metazoa; Chordata; Aves; Galliformes; Phasianidae
Exons: 2
Source: RefSeq, a predicted model, not a curated record